UCAAAAGCGAUGAGUCUAAGGAGUAUUCUAAUCUGUAUGAUAUAGAGAACUCAUGGUUGGUGGAAAUGAGUGCAUCAGUUAGGAGAAGGUAGUAGAGGAGCUUAAGACUUGAAUACAUAGGGUUUUACGGGGCUAGCCGUUAUCUAGAAAUGAAGAGCAUAAAGUAAAUCUGUUUCGAAAGAAUUUGCUUUGUGAAGCUAAGGUGGUACCGCGGAAAAAGUUUCGUCCUUACA
RNAcentral lists this non-coding RNA (233 nucleotides) under Bacillus sp. (in: firmicutes). Its description in RNAcentral is "Bacillus sp. T-box sequence". It matches the Rfam family "T-box leader". Rfam says of the family: Uncharged tRNA acts as the effector for transcription antitermination of genes in the T-box leader family. T-boxes are found upstream of many aminoacyl-tRNA synthetase genes and some amino acid biosynthetic genes usually in Gram-positive bacteria. The anticodon of a specific tRNA base pairs to a specifier sequence within the T-box motif, and the NCCA acceptor tail of the tRNA base pairs to a conserved bulge in the T-box antiterminator hairpin. The record is from RNAcentral. Lineage: Bacteria; Bacillati; Bacillota; Bacilli; Caryophanales; Bacillaceae.